RNAcentral lists this ribosomal RNA (482 nucleotides) under uncultured bacterium. RNAcentral's name for it is "bacterial SSU rRNA". It matches the Rfam family "Bacterial small subunit ribosomal RNA", at positions 30 to 507 of the family's 1533-position model. The record is from RNAcentral.
AUUGAACGCUGGCGGCAUGCCUUACACAUGCAAGUCGAACGGUAACGGGCCUUCGGGUGCCGACGAGUGGCGAACGGGUGAGUAAUGUAUCGGAACGUACCUUUCAGUGGGGGAUAACGUAGCGAAAGUUACGCUAAUACCGCAUAUUCUGUGAGCAGGAAAGCAGGGGAUCGCAAGACCUUGCGCUGAUUGAGCGGCCGAUAUCAGAUUAGGUAGUUGGUGGGGUAAAGGCUCACCAAGCCAACGAUCUGUAGCUGGUCUGAGAGGACGACCAGCCACACUGGAACUGAGACACGGUCCAGACUCCUACGGGAGGCAGCAGUGGGGAAUUUUGGACAAUGGGCGCAAGCCUGAUCCAGCCAUUCCGCGUGCAGGAUGAAGGCCUUCGGGUUGUAAACUGCUUUUGUACGGAACGAAACGGUCUGCCCUAAUACGGCAGGCUAAUGACGGUACCGUAAGAAUAAGCACCGGCUAACUACGUG